This 1217-nucleotide long non-coding RNA is filed under the name Amphibalanus amphitrite. Its description in RNAcentral is "uncharacterized LOC122365379". The record is from RNAcentral. Lineage: Eukaryota; Metazoa; Arthropoda; Thecostraca; Balanomorpha; Balanidae.
UUAUUCAGGCAUUCGGCUCAAGCGAUGUUCACGCGACGACCGAAAAAAAGUUCGACCGGUUGAACUUUUCUCGCCGAAGCAGUCAUUUAGCGGCCGAAAAUCAACAGCCGCCAUAUUGUUUUCAUACAACCUUGACAAGUCCGGUUGUUUACAUUCCAAUCAUUUUCGAUGUGAGGGGCUCGUGUGGUGUGGAGUUGUUUGCGAUGGAAAUGAAUUGGGUCGGAGAAGUGGAUCUCAUUCAAGCGGUACACAACAAGCCAGUUUCAUGAAACACGAGUCUUCCUGGACGAUGCGGCACCAGCUGAACCGCAAACGGCCGGCGCACCAGCUCUGUCCCCGGGGCCGGCGCCCCGGCAAGCAGCACCAGCUCCAAGGCCGGCGCUCGGGCCAGCCCCGUCUCUGGAGCGGUCGGUGCCGGCAUCACCAGUGUCCGCAAGGAGCAGCCGUGCCCAGUCGAAACGCUCGCAGCACUUCAAAGUGUACAACAGGUGGCUAAACCGUUGAAUGAUGCCGACCUGACUUUCGGUCAGUGUGUAAAAGCGGUUCGAAAAAAAGCCAUCGCUCCCGGAACUUCCGCUCACUGGCGCGCGACGUCUCCUCCGUCGGCUCCGGCAGGUACACUGCACCGCGGACGUUCACGAUCGCGCAACAGAUGUACACCAACGCGCGCGUGGUCGACUCCGCGAGCCGGUAGCUCGGCGCCAGAGCGGAAAAAUCAGCCCCCGACGCCAGAUAGUGGAGUGUAAUCGCCAGCCGCAGCGGUGCGCUCACCGGCUGGAGGAAGGUGGUGGUCGAGCGGGUGAUCUGGCUCUCCAGCUCAGUCGGAAAUACUGAACCUGUGUCGCUGGGGGUCGUUGAGCCGAAGCUCCUGCUCUCGGUUGGCGUGCUCGCCCGGCUCGUCUCGGCGCUGUAGCACGUCGCUGACCCCAUGCGCCGGACCAAGGGUCUGCGUCUCUCCUGCACCCUUUGGAGUGCCAGCUUGAAGUACAGUAUCGCGAUGGCUAGUUGAAGUGUGUACGGGUUGUUUGGUGGCUCAGCAUGCAGAUAACUAAAUCUUUUGGUCCCAGAGCAUCAAUACAAUGCACAUUAAUGUUGCUAAGUUUGGUUAAUCGCUUGCGAUAUGCUCAGACCAUUUAGACCUCAAUAGUCGGUGUACUUUGCUCAAUGUUUGUUUUUAACAGCCAAUUUGUUUUCAUUAUCAAGCAAGCUACAUACUC